This 98-nucleotide small nucleolar RNA is filed under the name Ochotona princeps (American pika). Its description in RNAcentral is "Small nucleolar RNA SNORA74 (ENSOPRG00000024246.1)". The record is from RNAcentral. Lineage: Eukaryota; Metazoa; Chordata; Mammalia; Lagomorpha; Ochotonidae.
CCCAGCUGUAGGCAGCCACCCAGGUUGCCUUGUACCUAGGCAAGUGUUACACUGCUGGGAGAAAAGAAGCCAAUAACUGGCUGGCCUUACGGAUCAUU